Molecule: ribosomal RNA, 489 nt
Filed under: uncultured bacterium
Lineage: Bacteria
Description: partial 16S ribosomal RNA
Rfam family: Bacterial small subunit ribosomal RNA
Source: RNAcentral
GAUGAACGCUAGCGGCAGGCUUAAUACAUGCAAGUCGUGGGGCAGCAGGACUGUAGCAAUACAGUUGCUGGCGACCGGCAAACGGGUGCGGAACACGUACGCAACUUACCCUGAACUGGGGGAUAGCCCGGGGAAACCCGGAUUAAUACCCCGUAAUAUAAUGGAGUGGCAUCACUUUAUUAUUAAAGCUCCGGCGGUUCGGGAUGGGCGUGCGGCUGAUUAGGUAGUUGGUUGAGGUAACGGCUCACCAAGCCUACGAUCAGUAACUGGUGUGAGAGCACGACCAGUCACACGGGCACUGAGACACGGGCCCGACUCCUACGGGAGGCAGCAGUAAGGAAUAUUGGGCAAUGGAGGCAACUCUGACCCAGCCAUGCCGCGUGGAGGAUGAAGGCCCUCUGGGUUGUAAACUUCUUUUAUAGGGGACCAAACCUGUGUAUUCUUACGCAGUUGACGGUACCCUAGGAAUAAGCACCGGCUAACUCCGUG